Molecule: unclassified non-coding RNA, 343 nt
Filed under: soil metagenome
Description: partial contains 5.8S ribosomal RNA, internal transcribed spacer 2, and large subunit ribosomal RNA
Rfam family: 5.8S ribosomal RNA (bases 1-120)
Source: RNAcentral
GAUGAAGAACUUAGCGAAAUGCGAUAAGUAAUGUGAAUUGCAGAAUCCAGUGAAUCAUCGAAUCUUUGAACGCACAUUGCGCCCGCCAGCAUUCUGGCGGGCAUGCCUGUUCGAGCGUCAUUUCAACCCUCGACCUCCCUUUGGGGAAGUCGGCGUUGGGGACCGGCAGCACACCGCCGGCCCUGAAAUGGAGUGGCGGCCCGUCCGCGGCGACCUCUGCGUAGUAAACCAACUCGCACCGGAACCCCGACGUGGCCACGCCGUAAAACACCCAACUUCUGAACGUUGACCUCGAAUCAGGUAGGACUACCCGCUGAACUUAAGCAUAUCAAUAAGCGGAGGA